UACGUAGGGGGCUAGCGUUGCUCGGAAUUACUGGGCGUAAAGCGCACGUAGGCGGCUUUUUAAGUCAGGGGUGAAAUCCUGGAGCUUAACUCCAGAACUGCCUUUGAUACUGGGAAGCUAGAGUCCGGAAGAGGUGAGUGGAACUGCGAGUGUAGAGGUGAAAUUCGUAGAUAUUCGCAAGAACACCAGUGGCGAAGGCGGCUCACUGGUCCGGUACUGACGCUGAGGUGCGAAAGCGUGGGGAGCAAACGGG
RNAcentral lists this ribosomal RNA (253 nucleotides) under uncultured bacterium. RNAcentral describes it as "partial 16S ribosomal RNA". It matches the Rfam family "Bacterial small subunit ribosomal RNA", at positions 524 to 776 of the family's 1533-position model. The record is from RNAcentral.